RNAcentral lists this ribosomal RNA (441 nucleotides) under uncultured bacterium. RNAcentral's name for it is "partial 16S ribosomal RNA". It matches the Rfam family "Bacterial small subunit ribosomal RNA", at positions 338 to 795 of the family's 1533-position model. The record is from RNAcentral.
CCUACGGGAGGCAGCAGUGGGGGAUAUUGCACAAUGGGGGGAACCCUGAUGCAGCGACGCCGCGUGGGUGAAGGAGUGCUUCGGCAUGUAAAGCCCUAUCGGCAGGGAAGAAGCAAGACGGUACCUGACUAAGAAGCCCCGGCUAACUACGUGCCAGCAGCCGCGGUAAUACGUAGGGGGCGAGCGUUAUCCGGAUUCACUGGGUGUAAAGGGAGCGUAGACGGCCAUGCAAGCCAGGGGUGAAAGCCCGGGGCCCAACCCCGGGACUGCCCUUGGAAUUGUGCGGCUAGAGUGCGGGAGGGGCAGGCGGAAUUCCUGGUGUAGCGGUGAAAUGCGUAGAUAUCAGGAGGAACACCGGCGGCGAAGGCGGCCUGCUGGACUGCGACUGACGUUGAGGCUCGAAAGCGUGGGGAGCGAACAGGAUUAGAUACCCGGGUAGUC